Molecule: ribosomal RNA, 482 nt
Filed under: uncultured bacterium
Lineage: Bacteria
Description: bacterial SSU rRNA
Rfam family: Bacterial small subunit ribosomal RNA
Source: RNAcentral
AACUAACGCUGGCGGCGUGCCUAACACAUGCAAGUCGUACGAGAAAGCCGGCUUCGGCUGGUGAGUAAAGUGGCGCACGGGUGAGUAACGCGUGGAUAAUCUGCCCUUAAGUGUGGAAUAACGUACCGAAAGGUGCGCUAAUACCGCAUAAUGCCUGGCAACACAAGUUGUCCGGCCAAAGAAGGCCUCUGUUUACAAGCUUUCGCUUCAGGAUGAGUCCGCGUACCAUUAGCUUGUUGGUGGGGUAAUGGCCUACCAAGGCUGCGAUGGUUAGCUGGUCUGAGAGGAUGAUCAGCCACACUGGAACUGAGACACGGUCCAGACUCCUACGGGAGCAGCAGUGAGGAAUAUUGCGCAAGUGGGGGCAACCCUGACGCAGCAACGCCGCGUGAGUGGAGGUAAGGUUUCGGACUGUAAAGCUCUGUCGAGGACGGGAAGAAGUGUACCAUGGCUAAUAUCCAUGAUAUUGACGGUACGCUAGA